RNAcentral lists this transfer RNA (73 nucleotides) under Gemmatimonadota bacterium. Its description in RNAcentral is "tRNA-Phe". It matches the Rfam family "tRNA". From Rfam's summary of the family: Transfer RNA (tRNA) molecules are approximately 80 nucleotides in length. Their secondary structure includes four short double-helical elements and three loops (D, anti-codon, and T loops). Lineage: Bacteria; Pseudomonadati; Gemmatimonadota. The record is from RNAcentral. RNAcentral also lists the same sequence under 2 other names.
GGCCAGGUAGCUCAGUUGGUAGAGCAUUCGACUGAAAAUCGAAGUGUCGGGGGUUCGAUUCCCUCCCUGGCCA